UAACAGGCUGCCCGGGGCUGAGCCCAGGC
This 29-nucleotide non-coding RNA is filed under the name Mus musculus (house mouse). Lineage: Eukaryota; Metazoa; Chordata; Mammalia; Rodentia; Muridae. The record is from RNAcentral.